Molecule: ribosomal RNA, 506 nt
Filed under: uncultured bacterium
Lineage: Bacteria
Description: partial 16S ribosomal RNA
Rfam family: Bacterial small subunit ribosomal RNA
Source: RNAcentral
AGUGAACGCUGGCGGUAGGCCUAACACAUGCAAGUCGAACGGCAGCACAGAGGAGCUUGCUCCUUGGGUGGCGAGUGGCGGACGGGUGAGGAACACAUCGGAAUCUACUCUGUCGUGGGGGAUAACGUAGGGAAACUUACGCUAAUACCGCAUACGACCUACGGGUGAAAGCAGGGGAUCUUCGGACCUUGCGCGAUUGAAUGAGCCGAUGUCGGAUUAGCUAGUUGGCGGGGUAAAGGCCCACCAAGGCGACGAUCCGUAGCUGGUCUGAGAGGAUGAUCGGCCACACUGGAGCUGAGACACGGUCCAGACUCCUACGGGAGGCAGCAGUGGGGAAUAUUGGACAAUGGGCGCAAGCCUGAUCCAGCCAUACCGCGUGGGUGAAGAAGGCCUUCGGGUUGUAAAGCCCUUUUGUUGGGAAAGAAAUCCAUCUGGUUAAUACCCGGGUGGGAUGACGGUACCCAAAGAAUAAGCACCGGCUAACUUCGUGCCAGCCGCCGCAGUAA